This 407-nucleotide long non-coding RNA is filed under the name Zonotrichia albicollis (white-throated sparrow). Its description in RNAcentral is "lncRNA (ENSZALG00000005583.1)". The record is from RNAcentral. Lineage: Eukaryota; Metazoa; Chordata; Aves; Passeriformes; Passerellidae.
UGAAAAUGGAAAAGGCUGUCAGAACGUGGGAUGCUGUGAAGCCAGGGCAGAAUAUAGGACAGAGUGGAAAUACUGCCUUUGCUGAAAUGAGAUGGAGCUCUGCCAGGCAGCAAAAAAAGGGAUUGUCAAAACAUCAGCGCACUCCCCCUCGGAGGCAUUCCUGGCGCGGGAGAGGAGGGUCUGCCCACUGCGGGGAGAUGGAGCCCUUCCCUCUCGCUGGGAGGCAGCGCUCGGAACUGGCCGGCAGCAGCAGGGAUGUAAUUAGCGCUGACACAGAACACAAGGAAUCAGCACUGCAAAGGAAGGAAGAUCCUGGGCAUGAUUCUGAGCCUUGUGGACUAGGCUUGGCUGUACAGGUCAGUGAAAUACUCUAUCUCUGCUGGAACCAACCUAGCUUCUCCCAGUGA